Podarcis lilfordi (Lilford's wall lizard) is the source of this 74-nucleotide non-coding RNA. The record is from the annotation of a GenBank genome assembly. Lineage: Eukaryota; Metazoa; Chordata; Lepidosauria; Squamata; Lacertidae.
CCCUGGGAUAGCUCAGUUGGGAGAGCCCAAGACUCUUAAUCUUAGGGUUGUGGGUUCGAGUUCCACCUUGGGCA